UACCUAUUACUCAAUUUAUUUUUUCCCUUCAGGAGUAUCUCAAUGCCGUACUAGAAGCAAUUGACAAGGAUAAAGUGCGAGUACAUGGGUACACCUACUGGAGUCUUCUAGACAACUUUGAAUGGACACAAGGUUAUAGUCAACGCUUUGGUUUGUACUACGUCAACUUCACGGACCCCGAGAGAAAGAGAGUUGCUAAGAGCUCUGUAGAGUAUUAUCAAAAGGUAGCCUUGACAAGGAUGAUAUUUGAUCCUACAGUGGUCAAUACAACUACAUCACAACAAACAACGGUAACUACUCCAUCUACCUCAAAUAAAACAACGGCGACUACUCCAUCUACCUCAAAUCAAACAACGGCAACUACUCCAUCUACCUCAAAUCAAACAACGGCAACUACUCCAUCUACCUCAAAUCAAACAACGGCAACUACUCCAUCUACCUCAAAUCAAACAUCGUCAACUACUUUAUCUACCUCACAAAAAACACCAACUACUCCACCUACCCCACAAACAACACCUAGUACCGCUGGUAGCAUAGCUGUCUCGAAUAUUCUUCUGUGUUUUGCAAUGGUGCUGUUUUGGAGGUUUGCACUGAACUGAACUUAUCUUUUUCUACAUAUUCAUAGUUUUCAGAAAAUUGUGUAAUACUGAUUUCAGAUUUUCCCUACUGAAUUUGAUUAAAUAAAGAUGGUUGAUUUAUGUACAAAUAAGUAGAAUGCCGAACAUGAAUGUUUUGAAAAUGACGACAAAUUCUGGAACAAACUAUUGUAAUUUUUAAAUAAAUUGAUUUGAACCUUA
Long non-coding RNA from Leptinotarsa decemlineata (Colorado potato beetle), 797 nucleotides. NCBI's taxonomy places the organism in Eukaryota, Metazoa, Arthropoda, Insecta, Coleoptera, Chrysomelidae. The record is from RefSeq and is a predicted model, not a curated record.